RNAcentral lists this small nucleolar RNA (82 nucleotides) under Yarrowia lipolytica. The record is from RNAcentral. Lineage: Eukaryota; Fungi; Ascomycota; Dipodascomycetes; Dipodascales.
UUCGUGAUGAUUAGAAACUUAACGCAAAAUAAUGAUUAUGGACAUGAUCAUAAACUGUGAACAAUCUCUGAACGAAUCUUUU